Long non-coding RNA from Loxodonta africana (African savanna elephant), 907 nucleotides. RefSeq lists it as uncharacterized. The record is from RefSeq and is a predicted model, not a curated record. Lineage: Eukaryota; Metazoa; Chordata; Mammalia; Proboscidea; Elephantidae. The transcript has 3 exons.
CUCGAACACGGGGCACUCUGGCGGUGGUAGAAAGUCUUCAGGCCCUGGCUCCAUGGUCGACCUGGAUGCUAAUCUAUGAAAUGAGAUUCGAUAUUUCGUCACCGUGGCAUAGAUCUUUCCUGAGCCUAAAACCGGGGGCUCAGAAAUGGCUUUACUUUAUUCUUAGUUCUGAAAUUAAUAGGUGAGAGGUGUACUGCUUACCAAUCGUCACGGACUUCACUUUUACAGCCACCAUCUUGACCUCUGAAUUUUCCCGUCUGCCUUUACACAGUGUCACUCCGCGGAUCGAUCCUGCAGGCUUCUAGGUAUCGCCAAACGUAAGAGAGUGGUGCACUCCCGCAAAAAGUUGAAGACGCAAGGGAGGGUUCACCCACAAAAAUCCUUAAUUUGGUCGAACGAGUUACCUUAAACAUCACAGCAGAGCAAGAUUGUAAAUAGUACCGCCGGAACUUUUUUCCUGGGUCCAUUGCGCAUGUCACGCCUGCGUAUUAGCGGGAACAACAGUGGAAGGAGCCAGGAAGUCGCUACGCUCCGGGUGCGCUAACGAAAUUUCUUCCAAGACUUAAGGGUUCCCAUUUCUGCACCCUGGCUUUGUGGGACGUCAACACGUGACUACAAUGUAGACUUCUGGAACCCUGGGUGCAAGACACACAGGAUCAAAGUAGCUGAACAAAACUCAGAUCAAUCUUGUGACUGAAACCAGGAUGGCGUGAAGAGACUGGCAAGACUCCAAGAUGACAUGAAGAUACUUAGACAUGUCCACCUCAAAGAAAAGUCAGAAUUCCUAGAAAUCUCUAAACCCUGACCUUCCCCCUGUAAAACCAUCCAGUUAGCCCUUUAGAGUUAGAAUUUGGGAGGAGUUUUACCCCCUCUGUCUCUUGGAUACUGAAGUUCAAUAAAACUCCCU